AAAAACAGACUCAAAACAUAAAAAAUAAAAAUAAAAAUCUCUUUAAGCAACUCCUAAAUGAGCGAUCCUGAUUAGAUGGUCCCAGAGUGUCUGUCAUGCUCAAACUUCGGUAAGUAAAUCCACACCUGUAUGAAAAAAUUAAGACCUAAUAAGGUUAAAGACCUCGAACGCUAUGAUAGACAAUAACUCUUCCUGUUGGACACAUGCAAAACACGAUUGUGACUAUUUUUCUAAAAUUAACCUAUGUGACUAAAAGUGGCUUAAAAUGCAAGAUUUGACUAAGACCCGCGAAGCCAAGAACCUAAAAUCACUAGGAAUAUCAGACCCUAUGUGGGUUGCCUACGUAUCACCCCCCGAAAGACGAGAAUCAGGCAUGCGUAGUUCGUGCAGAUUGGAUACGGGCGAGAAUAAAAAAACAACAACUAGUUUAGAGAAUAAUAUGUUCUUUUUUUGAUCCUUUUUUUUUUGAAAAAUGAUGAAACAUGUAAACUCUUUUUGGGUUUUCUUUUCCUUUUUUUUUUUGAUUUUUUUCUUAAUUUUCGGAAAAUAAUGAAAAAGUGCAAAAUCUUUUUUUGUUGUUGAGUUUUUCAAGUUUUUUUUUCUUAACAAAAUGUGAAAGAAAACAUAAUUGGGCCCUACUUGCUUUAUUUUCACACUUCACCCUCUUUUUUUCUUUUUUUUUCAUUUGCCCUCAACUAUCAUUGGUCCGCCAAAUGACCCUUUUACCCUUGAAGAUUGCAACAUGUAGCACAUAUGAUGCAUCAGGAUGGUCUUACAUUUUUUGGGUACACCUGGCCUAGACGGACCCAACCACUAUGUUAAGUCCCCAAAGUCAAAUGCACAUGAUGCAAACAAACGUGCCCACUAGGGAUCCGGCAUAAGGUUAUGUUAUUCAAGUUUAAACCUGGGGUUGUGUUCUUGAACUGGCUUACCCGAGCAGACUACUCGAGCCGAAGAGGGGGCAACGUACCGAGAGAACUAAAGUCUACCCGGCCUUGUUGCUAGCCCAGGAGAAGGUGUGCAUCAUUUUCACACGAACGUGUGCAUCAUUUUCAGAAGACUUAGAGGGGUGGCGUAAGAAGACAGUUAUAUACAAUUCAAAUAAUAUCAAAGCGGUAAAUAGACAACAAUUAGCACAAAAGGUUCACAAAAUAGUAAUAUUAACAAUAAAUAAAGCCAAAUAAAAUCAUAUUAACUAGCUUGGAUUCUUGAACCCUAAACUAGAGAUUCUAGGUUCUUAUCCCCAGCAGAGUCUCCAGAGCUGUCACACCGCCUUUUUCCCACCCCUGGAAGGGGGUAUAAGGGAUUUUUUCCAAUUUAAGUGACAAUCGAAACAUGAUUAUUUAUAUUAAAUUCAGAGUCACCACUUGGGAUAAUUUAUGGUGUCCCAAGUCAUCGGUUUAAAAUCCCGAAUCGAGGAAAGUUGACUCUUAUUUAUGGUCUGCGAACACAGAAAUCCGGGUAAGAAAUUCUGUUAACCCGGGAGAAGGUGUUAGGCAUUCCAGGGUUCCGUAGUUUUAGUACGGUCACACUGAUCAUACUUGGUUUAUUCAAAUUGUCUAAUUACUCAUUUUAGAACCUAUGUGCAUUUGCCUCUUUUAAUUAAGGAAUUAUCUUGAAAACGAGUCACGCGUACGUGUACUCAUUUGUUUAGUGCGUCAAGAAUCAUGUCACGCGUACGUGUCCACAAUUCCUAACACUUAGUUAUUAUUAAGAAAAGUUUGGUCGAAAUUGCGCAAACGCAUACCCCGAUUUUGUUUUUAGGGUCGUAAUUAUGUCACGAAAACGUGUACACAAUCACGAUGAUUUAUUAACUGUGGGGCAUACCUAAAAGUAUACUAGCAUACAUGGAAAGAGAGGACACUUAUUCUUAUUUGCAUUCGGUAAACUCUAUUGCCUCAACCUAACAAUCAUUCAAAACCAUCCGAACGAACAUACAAAAACAAACAUAUGGACAAAUAAACACUAAACCAUUCCAAGAAACAUGAACUAUGUAAAGAUGAAAACAACUUAAAUCUCCAAAGGGUUUAAAUUUGUUAUUUAAAUUUAAAUCUGCAUUCAUGUCUUUUCAAAAUCACCUAGUAACACUUGAAUUCAACAGAGAAAAAUAUAAAAGAUAAUCCUAUAAAUUCAUUAUGCUAAAGAAACCAUGAUUAGAAUAAUAAUUUUUUUUAAAACAUAUUUCCUAUGAAACGAGGUGAUGGAAAACAAGCAAAGCAUUAUUCUAUUCUUAGUAGAAGACUCAAAUGAGGUGAUGCAAAACAAGCAAGCAUUAUCGAUAUCAGGUAGGAUUAAUGAAGAGAAAUGGACCUGAAAUUAGAAAAUGGGACAACUGAUUCAGAUGUUAACUUCAAACUCAAGCGAAACAACAACAACAAAGUCGAGCAAGAAAUCGCAAGCAAAAUCGAAACCUCGAACCGAAAACCUCAUCGAAUUCGGAACAGUCUGCCUUCAACGGUGACCUUCACAUGAUUCAAACUUGAAUUCGGCUCCAAACAUUAAUUAAACUCCAUGUUGCAGAAAAAUAAGAACCAAAUCGAGAAUGGGGAAGACGAAGUAGUUUUUGUACUGUUUUCGAUUGCUCUGUUCGUGUUUGUCUAUUAUAGCUCUACACCCGUUCUCUCACUAUUUUUGUGUGUGUGCGUGUGAUGCUGUUGAGGGAGUUCCGAAGAAGAAGGGUGUAUGACUGUUCUCCGUUUUUCGGAGAGCUCAGAGGUAGAAGAACGACGAUCUGUUGGUGCGUGUGUGCAUGUGUCCGGCGUUAGGUUGCUGGAAGCUGUUGUUGGAAUGAAGAAGAAGAUGGAAUUCAGAUGGGGGAUUGUCAUUUGUUUGAAGAAGAAGCAGAACGGUGGGGGAGGGAUCUAUGUAUUCUGCAGCUGAUUAGAUCUCUUAGGCAUUAGGUUAGCUCCUCAUUUUUUGUCAAAAACGGCUGUCAGCUCCUAGAGUUUUCCCAGUUUUUGGGAAGAAGAAAGAGCUCCAAGGUGUUUUUUGUAGGUCUCUUUUAAUCAAAA
This 3011-nucleotide long non-coding RNA is filed under the name Nicotiana tabacum (common tobacco). RNAcentral describes it as "long non-coding RNA (NTAB_LNC015957)". Lineage: Eukaryota; Viridiplantae; Streptophyta; Magnoliopsida; Solanales; Solanaceae. The record is from RNAcentral.